Molecule: long non-coding RNA, 2502 nt
Filed under: Sus scrofa (pig)
Lineage: Eukaryota; Metazoa; Chordata; Mammalia; Artiodactyla; Suidae
Description: lncRNA (ENSSSCG00040046662.1)
Source: RNAcentral
CUUGAAACUCUUCAAUCCAGCUUCACCCUCUUGCAGGUGAGGAAACUGAGACAUCUGGGUGUACGUUACGCGUCAUUCCGUUAAACAGAGGCUGAGCAGUGGGAUCGGGCCUGUUGUCUGGUUCCCAGGACCGUGUGCCGUGUUGUGCAGAACCUGCAUCCUCUCUGUUCUCUUUGGGCCUCAGCAGUGGUUCUGAGUCCGGAUGCUUCGCCCGAUGACAGCCAAUGAGCAUGGGAUUGCGAUGAUUAAGCUGCCUUAUCCAUUAGCUGGAAAGCAAAAGAAGAAAGGGCAACAGACAGGUGCCUUUGUUUAUUCUACACCUGUCUACUGAGUGCUACCCGAGCCUGUACUUCGCUAGGCCCGAGGACACAGCAGAGGACGAGGAUGUGAAACUCACCAGUGACUGGGAAGCAGAGUCCCGAGAGAAAGUUUGAAACAGAAGCUCUGAAGCCAGCAGAGGAAACUGGGAAGGAACAUGCAGAAAUGUCAGAGGGGAAUCACAGGGGCAUGAUGUCCUGGAAACUACAGGAGGAAAGUGUUCAAGCAAGUUCUCUGGGAGUAAGUUGGCUUGAGGAGCAGGGGUGGUGUGUCCUGCUCCAUAUAGUCCAUGGAGACAUAGCCCUUUUACGCUGUGGCUCUGUAAUACCUCUGCGCUUUGAACUCGAAGCUGAAUCGCCAGCAUCAGGCCUGCAGAUGGUGGAAGAGGAAGGAUCACCGGUGACAGCUUCUUCAUGGACCAGUGUCCUUCACCAACAUUCAACUGGCUAGAGCUUAAUCCCAUUGCGACGCCCAACAGCAAGGGAGGCUGUGACUUGUAGUCUGAAUCAUCCCUAGAAGGUAAAGCUGAUGGAUUUGGUGAACCCUAGAUAGUCUCCCUAAGCCCACCUCCCCGCCACGCCCACCUCCCCGCCACGCCCACCCGCACAAAGAACAGUCUUUGCAAAAGAGAGGCUGCGUAUGACUGGCUGUGCGGAUGGAGAUGGCAGACGUGGGCUUCUCUUUCAAUAAGUGUGACCUUGAGGGGGCACGUGAGGAUGGAAGCUGGUGAGGAAUGGAGGAAGCACUGUGUGGCCGUUACAGCAGUAAUGAUGGAGGAUGGCAGUACUGACCGCCAUCCACUUCUGAGCCUUUGUUGUUACCACUUGUUAUGUACCAGCCAUGAUUCCUGGCACUUGUCCUAUCUCAACUGAUUAAAUCUCUACAGUACUCUUAGUUGGUAGGCGCUCUUGUUAUUCCUAUUUUUUUUGUUUUGUUUUGUUUUUUGGAUGCACCAAAGGCCUAUGGAAGUUCCCAGUCCAGGCAUGGAUUCUAAGCCCCAGCUGUGAGGUAGCCACAGCUGCGGCAUGGUCCAAUCCUUCAUCCACUGUGCCACAGCGGGCACUCCUUGUGAUUCCUGUUUUAACAGAUGAGGAAACUGGAGAACAGAGCGGUUGAGUAACCGCCCCAACGUCACAUAAUUAUCAAAGCUAGGAUGACUAGCCAAUGAAGUUCCUGGGUUCAUGCCAGAACUCCCUAGAGUGGGCACAGUUUUUAGAAGCAAAUGGACUUGGAUUUGAAUUCUUGACCUAUUUCUUACUAGCUCUGUGACCUUGAGGAAGUCAUAGAAUGUCUCAGUUUUCUGAUCUAUAAAGAGAAGACUACCUACUACAGAAUUAUUGGUAGCAUUAAUAUAAUAUAUGUAAAGCGCCUAGUGUCAUGCCCAAUAUCUAGUAGAGAGAUACAAAUGCAGCUUAAUUUACUAAGAAAGUUAUAUGUUUGAAUAGAUCUUUUUCUGUUUAACGUAUUUUUUCCUUUAAAAAAAAUUGGUGGAGUUCCGUUGAGGCUCAGCAGUUAAGGAUCCAUUGUUGUCACUUUAGCUGUUCGGGUCACUGCUGUGGCUCGAGUUUGAUUCCUGGCCUGGCAUCUUCCACAUGCUGUGGGAAUGGCAAAAAAAAAAACAAACAAAAAAACAGCUUUAGAAAAUUUGCUUUUGUUUUUAUUUAUUUUAUUAUUGAUUGAUUUUUGCCUUUUUAGGGUCACACCCAAGGCAUAUGGAAGUUCCCAGGCUAGGGGUUGAAUCAGCUACACCUGCCAGCCUAUACCACAGUCAGAGCAAUGUGGGAUCUGAGCUGCUUCUUUGACCUUCACCAGAGCUCAUGGCAAUGCUGGAUCCUUAACCCACUGAGCAAGGCCAGGGAUCAUAACCCGAGUCCUCAUGGAUACUAGUUGGGUUUGUCACCACUGAGCCAUGAUGGGAACUCCAAAAAUUUGCUUUUGCUUGAUAGUCCAGUAGACAUGGGUGAAAAUGUCCUUAUGUAUAAAGAGGCUCUGCCUGACCUUAAAGAGGGUCAGGCAUGGAACAUCAGUCUGGACGUGAUUUUAGGUGUGGCUACAACUUCAUAGUCUUUGUAACAGCUUAGGGGAAACUUUCCCAAAGCAGUCUGCUGUCUGACAGCAAAUUGAUGUUCGUGCCUUUAUUGUCAUUUAUCCCCUGAGCUUGAAUAAAUGUGCCUUUGUUUUACA